RNAcentral lists this long non-coding RNA (19549 nucleotides) under Gossypium barbadense (sea-island cotton). RNAcentral describes it as "long non-coding RNA (GBAR_LNC007662)". The record is from RNAcentral. Lineage: Eukaryota; Viridiplantae; Streptophyta; Magnoliopsida; Malvales; Malvaceae.
UAAUAUGGAUUUCCUGAAUUGGUUAAUGUACUUUUUUUUCUCCUUGAUAUUGUUUCAAGCUUUCCAUUUGAUCACAAGAAGGAAAUUGGGAAGAUCCCAUAAGCUUCCGCCCGGUCCACCAACAAUUCCGAUCUUCGAGAACCUUUUCCAGGUUGGUGAUAAACCCCAUAGGUCCCUUGCCAAACUUGCCAAGAUUCAUGGGGACAUCAUGACUCUGAAACUUGGCCAGACUACUACCGUAGUUUUUUCAUCUGCAACAAUGGCCAAAGAAAUCUUCCAAAAGCAUGAUGCCGUAUCUUGUAACCGAACCAUUCCCGAUGCCCUUCGUGCCCUUCAACAUCACGAAGCCGGAUUGCCUUGGAUGCCUGUUUCAACCACAUGGAGAAAUCUUAGGAAAAUCUGCAAUUUGCAUAUUUUCGCUACUCAUAAACUUGACGCUAAUCAAUACUUGAGGCGCAGCAAAGUAGAACAACUCCUUGCUGGUGUUCGCGAAAGUUCCCUCAUCGGAGAAGCGAUUGAGAUACGUUAAGCUGCUUUCAAAACUACGCUUAGUCUCAUAUCAAAUACUAUUUUCUCCAUUGAUUUAGCCGACUCUACUCAUACUUCUGAGGAGUUGUUAAGUUUAGUUCCCAUGCAAAGGUGGCCAUGCACGACAUACAAAGGUGGUCAUGCUCCUGGAAUCGCAGCAAGCAGUGGUGCCAUGGUGUGCAGCAAUUAAAGUUUGAAGCUGCCAAUCUAUUUGCUAUUUUAGUUUCAUUUUGAUUGUUUUGUAAUCUAGUUCAUGUUGAACUAAGUAGGUAAAUGUUUUGAUAUUGAUUGACUGAAAAGUCAGCAAUGCAAGUUGUACAAGCUAAUCUUGUAAGUUUCAAUGCAAAUUAGUGGAGUUAGGUAGUUGAUUAGGUGAUUACUUGUUUGUUUUACUUAUUGACUAAUAUAUGUAAUGGCUUAAUGCCUUGUUGUAAUGUUAAUGAAAGAUAUCAGCUCUUUUUCAUUCAAUCUUCUUCUCUCUUUUCUGUUUUUUCACUUGCUAGUUUCAUCUUUCUGUUUUCUGCUUCCGAGCUUGCUUCUUCACCAAGGCUCGAGACUUACUACUCAAGCAAGACUUGAAACAGUUUGUUGCUGCCUCUUGCACCAACAAUUGGUAUCGAGAGCUCUUGUCUUAGUGGACCUGUUGCUUCAAAACAAGGAACUUGAUGGCUUCUUCAGGAUUUUCACCAGCAGCCCCACCAGUCUUCAAUGGAGAAGGCUUUCACAUAUGGCUGGUCAAGAUGAAGACUUACCUACAGGCCUUCGAUCUGUGGGAAGUUGUCAACACAGAUACUGAGCCAGCACCACUGAGGGCUAAUCCCACAGUAGCUCAGAUGAGGCAACAUGCUGAUGAGAGGACCAAAAGGCACAAAGCCAUGUCCUGCAUCCAGAACUGUGUGUCAGAUGUCAUCUUCACCAGAAUCAUGGCCUGUGAGACUCCAAAACAGGCCUGGGAUAAGCUUAAGGAGGAGUUUCAAGGCACUGAGAGAACAAGGCAACAGCAGCUGUUAAACUUGAGAAGGGAUUUCGAGAAUUUGAAGAUGAAGGAAGAAGAAACAGUGAAGCAGUACUCAGAUAGAAUUAUGGCAGUGGUUAACAGUAUAAGGCUCCUAGGUGAGCACUUUGAUGAGGCAAGAAUUGUGGAGAAAGUUCUCUCCACUUUGCCUGAGAGAUAUGAGGCCAAGAUAUCCUCCCUAGAGGACUCAAGAGACCUUGCUAGCAUCUCUUUGACUGAGUUAAUCAACACCUUCUAUGCUCAGGAACAAAGGAGAGCUAGCAGAGCUGAAGAUCACCAAGAAGGUGCAUUUCAAGCCAAGGCCAGAGAAACCUCGAGCAUUAAUGCUCAAAGAGGCAAAAAGCCUUGGAAAAACAGGCCUAAGCCUGAUGUUGCAAGAAGCAAUGACCAACCCUGCAGAUAUUGCAAGAAGCCUGGCCAUCCAGAAGACAGAUGCUGGUUUAGGCCAGAUGCAGUAUGUCAACACUGCAAGAAGAAGGGCCAUGUUGAAAGGGUCUGCAAAAACAGAAGUAAGCCAAGGCAGAAUCAAUUUCAGCAGUCAAAGGUUGAAGCUCGAGUAGCUGAGGACAGUAGUGACCAAGAAGAACAGGUCUUUGCUGUUUCCUGUGUAGCUUCUGAGAAGAAAUGCUCCAAAGGCUGGUUGCUGGACAGUGGUUGCACUAACCACAUGUCACCAGAUGCCUCCUUGUUUAAAACCUUGGACAGAAGUUAUAAAACCAAGGUCAAGGUUGGAAAUGGUCAGUUUAUAAGGGCUGAAGGAAGAGGAGAAGUGCUGAUAUGUACUCCCACAGGCAACAAGAUCAUUCCAAAUGUGCUGUUGGUACCACAAAUUGACAGAAACCUUCUCAGCAUAGCUCAACUGCUCGAGAAAGGUUAUUCUAUUGUGUUCAAAGAUAAACAAUGCCACAUUACUGAUCCAAGUGGAUCAAGCCUUAUGACAGUCACAAUGACUGAUAAAUGCUUUGAGGUUCACUGGGCAAAUGACUCAAACUCAGCAUACACAGCCUCUGUUGAAGACUCCAAGCUUUGGCAUCAAAGGCUUGGACAUGCUAACUUCAGAUCAAUGGCUCGAUUGGCCAAAGAGGGCUUGGCAGAGAACUUCAUCAGCUCAGUGGAGCAUGAUGAUGUGUGUGAAGUUUGCCAAAUGGGGAAACAGGCAAGAUUGCCAUUUCCUACAAAUUCAGCUUGGAGAGCUACUGAAAGACUGCAGCUGGUGCACUCUGAUGUAUGUGGCCCGAUGAGGACUGAAUCACUCAGCAAAAACAGGUAUUUCAUCCUCUUUAUUGAUGAUCUUACAAGGUUUUGCUGGAUUUUCUUUUUAAAACACAAGUCUGAGGUAGCUCAAGUGUUUGUGAAGUUUAAAAAUGCUGUAGAAACAGAAACAGGUUGCAAGCUGAAAUCGAUAAGGACUGACAAUGGCACUGAGUACACUUCAGCUCAAUUUCAAGCCAUUUGCAAUGAUGCUGGUAUCAAACAUUAGCUUACAAAUGUCUACACACCUCAGCAGAAUGGGGUAGCUGAAAGAAAGAAUAGAAGUCUGAUGGAUAUGGCCAGAUGUCUGCUGUUUGAGAAGGAACUGCCCAAAACUAUGUGGGCUGAGGCAGUAAACACUGCUGUUUACCUUCAGAACAGGCUUCCUACUAAAGCUCUUGCAUCCGAGACACCUUUCGAGGCUUGGUUCAGUUUCAAACCUUCCUUGGCACAUCUGAAGGUGUUUGGUUGCCUGUGUUAUGCACAAAUACCAGCAGCAAAGAGAGACAAGCUCUCCAAAAGGGCUCAACCAGGUGUUCUAGUAGGCUACAGCUCAGUCAAGAAGGGCUACAGGGUUCUGGAUCCCUUGACAAACAAAGUCCAGGUGAGCAGAGAUGUCAUCUUUGAUGAAAAAGCCUGCUGGAAUUGGGAGAAAAAUGAGCCAGAAGCAGUUUCAGAAGACCUAGUGCCUAAUCAAGCUGAACCUGAGCAGCUAGGACCUGAAAUGGAUGUUGAUGAUGUGCCUGUGAGAGGCACAAGGCCCCUAGAUGAUGUUUAUGAAAGGGCACAGGUUGCAAUAGCAGAACCUAGCAGUUUUGAAGAGGCUGAGGCAGAUGAAGGCAGGAAACUAGCUAUGGUCAAUGAAAUCAACAUGAUUGAAAAGAACCAGACAUGGGAGCUAGUUGAUAAACCUGUUGGAAAGAAGACCAUUGGAGUAAAAUGGGUCUAUCGAGUAAAACAGAAUGCAGAUGGCAGUCUGAACAAGCUAAAAGCCAGGCUUGUUGUCAAAGGAUUUAGCCAAAGGUAUGGUCUGGACUACCUGGAGACAUUUGCACCAGUAGCCAGGCUUGACACAGUCAGAAUGAUAGUUGCUUUGGCUGCUCAACAUCAGUGGAUCAUUCAUCAGCUUGAUGUUAAGUCUGCAUUUCUCAAUGGUUUCCUGGAAGAAGAGAUCUACAUCGAGCAGCCUCAAGGAUUUGUGAUCACUGGCAAAGAACACAUGGUGUACAGACUGAAAAAGGCUUUAUAUGGCCUGAAACAGGCUCCUCGAGCCUGGUAUGCUCGAAUUGACUCUUACUUACUCAGUUUGGAAUUUGAGAGAAGUCCCAGUGAACCAACACUGUAUGUGAAGAAGAACCAAGCUGAAACUCAGCUUAUUCUGUCACUCUAUGUUGAUGAUCUAUUGGUAACUGGAGGAGAUAGAAGAAUGCUGGAAAAUUUCAAAAGAAAAAUGAUGGAAAUGUUUGAAAUGUCUGAUUUAGGCAGAAUGAACUACUUCCUUGGAAUGGAAGUGAACCAAACAGAAAAGGGAAUCUUUCUUAGUCAGAGUUCUUUUACUAUGAAGAUCCUGGACAAGUUCUCUAUGAAGAACUGCAAGCCAACAAGCACACCAAUGGCUGUUGGAGUGAAGCUUUCGAGACAAGGGAGUGGUGAACCAAUUUGCGAGGCCAUGUACAAGAUUCUCAUUGGUAGUCUGUUGUAUUUGACUGCCACAAGGCCCGAUAUCAUGUUUGCUGUUAGUGUGCUAUCAAGAUACAUGAAUUGCUGCAAUGAUCAGCACUUUCAAGCAGCUAAAAGGGUGCUAAGAUACAUCAAAGGCACCAUUAGUCAUGGUGUAUUGUUAAAAAGGGCUGAAAACAUGAAGCUGAUAGGCUAUGUUGAUAGUGACUGGGCUGGAUCAAGUGAUGACAUGAGGAGCACAUCCGGAUAUGCAUUCAGUCUUGGCUCAGGCAUGUUUUGCUGGAGUUCUAAGAAACAAAGUCUGGUGGCACAAUCAACAGCAGAAGCUGAAUAUGUUGCUGCUGCAUCAGCUGUGAACCAAGCCAUAUGGCUUAGAAAAAUCUUAGCUGAUUUAAACCAAAACCAAAAGGAGGCAACAGAGAUUUAUUGUGACAACAAAUCUGCUGUUGCAAUUGCAAAAAAUCCCAUUUUUCAUGGCAGAACCAAGCACUUCAAUAUUAAGUUGCAUGUUAUAAGGGAGAUGGAACAAGCUCAUGAAAUCGAGCUGAUUCAUUGCAAUUCAGAAGUGCAAAUUGCUGAUAUCUUCACAAAGGCACUCAAUGUGUCUAAAUUUGUUAAAUUCAAAAGGGAAUUAGGUGUUACUAGCAUGGAAACUAAGGAGGAGUGUUAAGUUUAGUUCCCAUGCAAAGGUGGCCAUGCACGACAUACAAAGGUGGUCAUGCUCCUGGAAUCGCAGCAAGCAGUGGUGCCAUGGUGUGCAGCAAUUAAAGUUUGAAGCUGCCAAUCUAUUUGCUGUUUUAGUUUCAUUUUGAUUGUUUUGUAAUCUAGUUCAUGUUGAACUAAGUAGGUAAAUGUUUUGAUAUUGAUUGACUGAAAAGUCAGCAAUGCAAGUUGUACAAGCUAAUCUUGUAAGUUUCAAUGCAAAUUAGUGGAGUUAGGUAGUUGAUUAGGUGAUUACUUGUUUGUUUUACUUAUUGACUAAUAUAUGUAAUGGCUUAAUGCCUUGUUGUAAUGUUAAUGAAAGAUAUCAGCUCUUUUUCAUUCAAUCUUCUUCUCUCUUUUCUGUUUUUUCACUUGCUAGUUUCAUCUUUCUGUUUUCUGCUUCCGAGCUUGCUUCUUCACCAAGGCUCGAGACUUACUACUCAAGCAAGACUUGAAACAGUUUGUUGCUGCCUCUUGCACCAACAGGAGUUCCGAGAAAUUGUGCGGGGUAUCAUGGAAGAGUUGGGAAAACCCAACUUUGGUGAUAAUUUCCCUAUUGCUAAUCUUGACUUGCAAGGCAUCAGGCGUCGAGUGGCAAUUCUUUUUAGAAAGAUGAUGGAUCUUUUCGAUAAAAUGCUCAAUGAGCGGAUGGAGUUGAGAAGGAUGAAUGAUUAUAUAUCAAUUGAUGAUUUCUUGGAUAUCCUUCUCCAACUCAGCCACCAAGGAAACAGCGAAAAGCUCGACAGAAAUCUUAUCAAACAUUUGAUUUUGGUUGUAACUUAAUCUCUUUUCAGUAAUUUAUUAUUUAAGUUGUAUAAGUUGUUCAACUUGGUAAGAAAUUGUGAAACAGGAUUCGGUUGUAGGCGCAAUCGAGACAACUACAAGUACUUUGGAAUGGGCAAUGGCGGAAUUACUCCAAAACCCAAAAGUUUUGCAGGAAGCCAGAGGAGAACUGAAGCAAAUAAUUGGCGAGGGGAACUUGGUGGAGGAAUCUAACAUUACUUGUUUACCUUAUUUGCAAGCAAUUGUCAAGGAAACGAUGAGGUUGCAUCCAUCGUUUCCUUUAUUACUCCCCAAAAAAGCUGAAGCAGAUAUCGAGAUUCAUAGCUUCGUCAUUCCAAAAGGUACACAACUGUUGAUCAACGCAUGGGCUAUAGGUAGAGAUCCUAAGUUCUGGGAGGUGCCUGACUUGUUUCGUCCAGAGAGGUUCAUAAGAUCAGAAAUGGAUGUUAAAGGAAGGGAUUUUGGACUGAUUCCGUUCGGAGGUGGGCGAAGAAUUUGCCCUGGAUUACCAUUGGCCAUAAGAAUGUUGCACUUAAUGUUGGGUGGACUCAUUCAUUCAUUUGAUUGGAAACUUGAAAAUAACAUCACACCAGAGAGUUUAGAUAUGAAGGAUAAGUAUGGUCUUUUUCUGCAGAAAGCUCAACCAUUAAGAAUCAUUCCGAUUUCAAAUUAACAAUAUUGUGUUGGUUAUUUUAUCUAUAACUAUUGAAGUGUAAUAAGUGAAACUUAGCUAACGACAACUUAUUGUAUCGUAAAUUUCAUGUUUUCAAACUUUCUGCCAAUCAAAUAAAAAUCAUAUAAAUCUAUCAGAAGGAACCGUGUAAUGUGCAGCUAAUAUUAACAUUUGAACUUUAACGAAGGUUCAUUUCAUCUACAACCAAAAACUACUACCGCAAUACAUCUUCAAAAUACAUGGAAUAAGUAGCUUUUUUCGUCGUUACUUGAAGCUUAGUGCUCAGCCAUUUAAUUGGAAAGAGUUUCACCUUUGUUUCUAAGAUCGUUCCGAGAAACUAUGUAGACAAGAAUCCUGGUACCAAGGUUAUCAGUGUAUCUACAAGUACAUAUAUCAAUUUCGACAAACCCUCGUACCUUACUAGUGACAGCUCUUGUAGUUUUUAAAGAAAUGCACAGUUCAUUGUAAAUGGUACAUACACCAAUAGAUUACCAUUAUAUAUAGAAGUGACAAGGAUAAGCUUGCUAAGUUUAUAAUCAAAUUAUACAACAAAUGGGAUGUUAAAUUUGUCCAAGUUCUGAAUAGGGAUGACAAUAGAGCGAGACAGGGUGGAUGCUGUUAAAUCCUUCACCACUCUACAGUUAUCAUGCUCUACUUCACUAUUUGUCUUGCUUCACUGUGGAUGUAUAAUAUUAAAUAUUAUUACCAUCUCCAUAGAUGUUAGAUGCACCCAUCCUUACCCCACCUCACCCUGCUCUUGAAGAUGCUUUAAAACCAUUUUUUGUAACUCGUGUUUGCUUCUUCAUUGAGUUCUCUGCUCAAAGUAGGGAGUAAAAGAAGAAUAGUGGAAGUAGGGUGGUGUGGAGGGAAAGAAGAUGAACAUUAGUAAUGGGGAAAAAAGUUUAUAAAAAAAGAUGAUGUGGUGUGCAUAAUCAACCGACGUUAGAGAUUUAACAUUUGGGUGACUAAAAUAAAAAUUUUCUCUAACGACAGUGACCAAAUUGCAAGUAUUUUUAUUUGGAUGAUCAAAAUGAAAGCACCUAAAGAGUUGGGUGACCAAUUAGGUAGUUUACUCAAAAAUCUAUCUAGUAAUUUUCAAGAUGGCUAAUCUAACUUGUUUAAAAAUUUAAAGUGCUAAAAAUAUUAACUUUUAAGUUUAUUAGAUUUUUUUAACACUUCAUCAAACAAGGCCUAAAUAAAAAAAAAGAAGGAAAAAGAAAAAAUUAAAAAUCAUGAUGCUACACUCCUAUGAAAGAAAAUAUAUAAAAAAAUCAAGUUAAUUGAUAUGAAGUAGGUGUCCAAAUUUUCUAUUGAUAAAAUGUAGUUUAUAAGCUAGAAAAAGUUAAGAAAAUGUGGUUAUUGGUUGAAGGGAUUAUCUUGUCUAAAAGCUUUGCUUUAAUGAUUUAGAUGAAGAAUGGACGGAUAGAUUGUUUAUUUGGCAUCAUUACAACUUUUGACAUCACAAUUAAAAAUAGGUGGAGAAAUGAUAAGGAUUUCAAAUGGAAGAGAGAAAUUGGUAUCCCUCGAAUAUGUGAAUAUUUUUCCAUUUUUAUUUUCAUGGGAAUCAAUGGGAUACAGAUUAUUCCUGGGAAGCUUAUAUAAGUAAUUCAUAAUAUAUGUAUUUGAUUCUGAUUUUUCUAUAUCUGUCAUUCUUAAUUUAAUGAAUGAUAAAAGGUUAAUAGAAUACGUUAGGUAUGAAAAUUAAUAUACUUUUCUAUCUACGAAUGUUGAUUAUAUAAUAUAAAACUAAGAUGGUACUAAAUGUCAAUUCUAAGGCAAAUAGUUUCGUUGAGCUUCAUCCUUGCAAGUAUGAAGUGUGCUUCAAAAAGAGCUUAGAUGUUGACCGACUAGAAAACGGUAAGGGUUUCAAUUUGACCGCUUUGAACCUCCCCCCAAUCUUGAGGAUUUUGCAGCUUGGUGAUUGCUUUCUCCCAUUUUUCUUGCAUGUUGGGUUAAUUUGAAGCAAGCUUGGAUGUUUGUAGGCGCUGUUGAAGUAGUUGAGUUUCCAGAAUUGAAUACAAACGCUGUUGUUGUUUAGAUUCAAUCUCUUUAAGAUAUUGCCGAUGACUUGAAUUCCAAAUUGCAGCUUUAAUGGCGGACAUUGGUUUAUUGCUUCUUUACCCUCUGCAAGCUUUCAUUGAAAACUGAAACGGUCGGCCCUUCCAUUCAAUGUUUCUAGUUCCAUCAUCAGAAAGGAUCCAUGCACUAGAAGGCCCUCCAUAGCUUCAAAUCCCCACCCUAACCCAUCUCUUUACUUUCUCCUUCCUUUCUUUCUCUCUCAAUCAAUCUAAAAGCUUUUACCAAUUGGUCCUCUUUGUGUUAUGUACUAUUCAAAUGGAGGACACAACAGGAAGAUUAAAAUCUUCUCAGCAAGUGUUAGGAAAAAAGGGUUAAUAUGUCCCUUCAACUUCGCAAAUUAAUAAUACUUAAACUUUUUUCUAAUUUAAUCUGAACUGAAUUGAUAAUUUUUUUUAAAUUUUUGGUUGACUAUGUUAAAUUUUAUACUAACACACGUCUUAAAUUUUUUUUUUUGAAAAAUAAAAAUAAAAAUAAAAAAUUAAGAAUUUUAGGAAUUUCUUUUAUUCCAACAUGGAAAAAUCACAUUAACAACUAUUUUUCUAAGUAAUUUGGACAAUAAAACUGGAGUGCCUUAAAAAAUUUUUUUUGACAAUAAUCUCACAUCAAUCAAUCGAAUAUUAAUUAAUACAUAAUCAAUCAAACACUAUUUAAAAAUGGCUCUUUUGCUCAAAAAAAAAUAUUCCAAAUGUUAAGUUCAUUCUAAAAAUGUCUUUCUAGUAAUUUUAUAUUUUUAUAAUUUUAAAAAAAGAUUAAAUAUAAAAUUGGUACUUGAACUUGUCCACUUUUCUUAUAUUGGUACUUGUAAUUUUUUUGUCUUAGAUUGAUACCCAAACUGUUUUUAUGUCCACUAGAUUAGUACCUGAGCCUAACGAUGUUAAUUUUUUGUUGAUGUGGCAGCACUAGCCAUUCACGUUUUGCCACGUGUUAUCCUCUUUGGCUGCAAGUCAAACCCCCUUUAAUUAUUUUUCCUUUCGUUUUCUUUUAAAAAUUAAUUUUUUUUCCUUUCAUUUUUCUUUCACUAUCAUAUUCUACCUCUUCGCCUUCUAGCUCACUUUUAUCUCUUUUGUUUUUUCCUUUCACUAUCUGUUUUGUUUUCUACUUGAUCUCUUCGCUUUCUAUCUAUUUGAUUUUAUCUAUUCAUAACACAUCUUUUAAAGGAAGAAAACAAGCGAAAAUGUCUUUUUCAACAAAUAGAAAAUUAAGUGCUCAAAAAAGUUUUUGUACCCAUAAUGUUCAAAACAAAGAAACCAACAAAUUCAAAGAACAAAUAACAAACAAUAAAGAAUCCAACACAUUCAAAGAACAAAUAACAAACAAACAACCCAAAAUCUUAAAGAAGAAAAAAAAAGAACCUGAUAUAUUCUCAAUUUCAAUCUCAGUAACAAAUAAAGAAUUUAAAAUUUUCAACCCAAAAUCAUUUCAACUAGAAAAAAAGUUAACAACCUAAUAUAAUAGCAAGAACCUAAAAUGAGAGCAACAACCUAAAGAAUUACAAGAAUUUAAAAUUAUUUAAAAAUAAGAAAUUUACAACCAGAAAGAUAGCAAGAACUCAAAAAAAAUAAAUGAAAUACAAGAAUUUAAAAAACCCUAAAAAACCUACGGAUCCAAUGAACAACAAAGGCAAUUCCUCUCUUGAAUUUGUUAACCCUUAACUCCAUGACCUGAAGAACUUCUACUAGUCUCUAAGAAAAUUGAUUCUCUGUUGUUGCCUUGGCAGCGGUGUUGCUACUACUCCCUUUGGCUCCUCAACUCACUUUUAGCCUCACCAAAAGCCUCCUUAGUCUUUCUUCAGCAAGCGGAGAGUAUAAUUUCAAAAGCUCAAGGAUCAAGUUUUGAUUUUUUUUAUAGCUUUAAAGAGAUUUUCUUGGAAAUACAAGGCAAGAUUUGAGAAGAUAAGGAAGAGAGAAGUGUUGUAACACCCCACACCCGUACCCUACGUCGGGAUAAAAUACGAUGCGUUACUAAACUUAAACACAUGUAUUCAAAUGUUUCCGAGUCACCAAGACUUGAUCGAAUUUAAAACUUUUUUGAACCUUGUCUAAACUCCUUAAUAUGGGCCUACGAUGCCUCAAACAUUCAUUGGAAACCAUUUGGGGACCAACCUGGGUCAUUUAACUAACCUUAGAAAAAUAACUCUUAAAACAGGGCACACGUUUGUGUGGAAGGGCAACACGCACGUGUGGUUAUUAUAACACGGCCAUACUGAUAGCCCAUGUGACACACACGACCUAAGCAUAUAGGGACAGGUCCGUGUCCCAUGCCUGUGUGAAUUAAAUUCUAAUUCGAACCUACAGGGGUUUCAUACGGCCUGACACACGCCCGUGUCUAUAGCCUGUGUCUCUCACACGGCCAUGACACGCCUGUAUCUUAGCCCCUGUCUAAAAACCUUGACAUUAUGUUUCUGACCUCAGCAUCUAAUUUAGGGCACACGGCCAAGGCACAUGCCUGUGGCCAGAAGCCGUGUCCUCCACAUGGUUGAGAUACACGGCUAUGUCUCUACCCGUGUGUUUACUAACAUACAUUCUGACUUGCAAAUUUUACGUGCAAGGGACACACGGCCGAAUAACACACCCAUAGGGUUGGCCGUAUGUCACACACGGCUUAAACACACGCUCGUGUGUCUACCCGUGGGGACAAUAUAGGGCUAUCUACCAAGCCUUUGCCACCCUGAAACACAAUCUAACAUCAACCAACAUAUCAAAGAUUAACUUAAUAUGAUUUCUCAACCAAACAGCCAUAGCUAAGACCUAUAUACAUUACAUAUAUUCAACCAUGCCAACAAUUUCACAUUCAUGAAAGACUAGCUUGCAUUCACAUAAUAACUUUCAAUAUUAGCCAUUUUCCAUGGCCUUAUACAAAAUGAAUCAAAUGCUAAGCUAAGCUAUCAUAUUUGGCCAAUUAACAAUGACACAAAACUUAAAAGUCUAAGUUCCUAUACAUGCCAUAUUCAAAAUGAUAAAUCUAAUUAUACCGAGUGCUUCAGUUGAUAGUGUGAUUAAUGCCUCCGACGUCUGUUGAUCUUCGAGCUAGUUAGGCGGCACUAUAAGAAAAUAGAAAAGAGAGGGAGUAAGCAUAAAGCUUAGUAAGUUGUAUGCAAAUAAAUAUAGCAACAACUUUCCCAUUCAUCAUCAUGCUUAUAGUACAAAAGUAGGCAUAAGCACAACUUACUCGUCACUAACCAAUACAAUUCACAUAGCAUAUAUAUUGAGCUCACGUAUCAUACAUUUCAAAUAGGAACCUGUACCACUCACAACAUGGUUAUACUUUUCUCGUUUGACUUAAACUAUAACUCUUACCGUUGAACCAUUUGGAAAGCUAUUCGAUAUUCAUUAUGCCUCAAACAUAGGGUAUAAUGCCGCUGCCAUGUCUUAUACAUGGUCUUACACUGGCUGAUCCAUCAAGUCGAUGCCAUAUCCAGACAUGGUUUUCACUGAUUAUCGAAAUCGAGGCUGACGCCAUGUCCCGGACAUGGUCUUACACUAGCUCUCACAUAUUCAUGCCGAUGCCAUGUCCCAGACAUGGUCUUACACUGACACAUCUCGUAGCUGAUGCAUGUCCCAGACAUAUCUUACACUAGUACACCAAUAACCCGAAUGUCAUGGCAUGAAUAUCCGAUUUAUUUCCUAAUGUUCAAACGGGAGUUCCACUAUCUCAAUAUUUAUCAUACAUAAUCAUUUUCACAAACAAGCAAUUUAUGCUAUAUCAAUUCAAACACAUACAAUAACAAUGUAGUUGUAUUAUUUACUACAACUUACCUCGAUAUACAAAAUGUAGACACUAGUUCGGUUUAGUCCACUUGUUUUACUUUUCCUCGGUCUAGGCUCGGAUUUUGUAUUUCUUGAUCUAAAAUAAUAAAAAUUCAUCCAUUUAGUCACUAGAUAAAUUUAUACAAUAAAAAGUUCACAUUUUUGGCAAAAUGACCAUUUUGCCCCUAGACUCGAAAAUCCAUUUUUUAUCAAAUUUCUUCAUGCCUUAAGCCUAGCUGAACCCUUUUUACUCUUAUAGAAACCCAAAAUUUCCAUUAUUUCACACAUUUGUCAUCUAUUUUUACAACUUAUGCAAAAUGGUCCUUAGUUAGGGUUUUCAUGAAAAUUACUUCACAAAAGUUGUUUAUUUUACAACCAUGAUUCAUUUCCUUCCAUAAAAUUUCAGAAAAAAAACAUGAAUAUUCUCAUGUUAAAACCCUAGACUCUCAAUCAUUUUGCAAAAUAGUCCCCCCAUUAGCUAGCUCAUGCCACAAGGGUUCCAAAAGUACUAAAAUUAUAAAAAAUAACCAUCUAAAUCACUUACUUGAGAGGGAGAUGAAUGGUUGGAAGUUUUAACCUUCAAAGCCCUUACUCUUGCUGAAAAUUUCGGUGAAGAAGGAGAUGAGAAAGGGUUGAUAUCAUCCCUUGUUUAUUUUAUUUCUUUUUAGUCAAAUAAGCCACCAAAUUUUUACCUAACAUUUGACUAUCUAAUUUCUUUGUCUAAUGGCCGAUCAAGCACUAUUCUAGGGUCUAUUUUCUCUUUAAAGAUCCCCAAUUAAUGAUACAUGGAAAUUUAAGACCCUUAGCUAUCAAAUUAAGACUUUUGCACUUUAUGCGAUUUAGUCAUUUUUCACAAUUAAGCAUGAAAUCGCUAAAAUUAACUCACCAAAAUUUUUAUACUCUCAUAUAAUCAUGCCAAAACACAUAAAAUAAUAUUAAAAAUAAUUUCUCUGCCUUCGGAUCAGUGGUCCCGAAACCACUGUUUCAAUUGGGCUUAAAAUCGAGAUGUUACAAGUGUUUUAAUGGUCGGAUCGGCUGGAGAAGGCCAUGGAUGGUGGCAACUCAUGGCAGUGACAACUAAGGUUAAAAGAAGAGGAAUAUGGAGAAGAAGAGAAGAAGACAUUGUGUGUAACAGCCUAAUUUUUAGUGGUGUCGGAACAGUGAUUUGAGAUCACUGAAUCAGACAAAUGAGUAGGAAAUAUUAUUAAUUUAGUGAGUAUAAGUUAAAUGUGAAGUUAGGAAAAAUUUUGAAGUAGUGAAUAGUGUACUAAAAAUAAAUAUUAAAAUAAUUAGAAUCGAAAACGAGGUAUUGAGACCUCGAGAAUUUUAAAUCGAGCAAUAAAUAUUUUUAUAAAUAUUUAUGGAGUGUUAAUAAGUCAGUAUUAAAGUUUCGUCAAGAAAUUUUAAAGUUCUGAUAGUUAAUUGAACAAAAAAGACUAAAUUGUAUUAAAUGCAAAAUUGUGAGAAAUGAUUAAAUAGCUUAAAUGAUAAAAGAAAGAGGGUUUAAAAGGAAAAUAGACCCAAGGUCUCUUUGCGCUGGAUGGCAAUGGCAUGAAAUCAGCAAGAAAAUAAGGAGAAUUAAGGGAAAAAUUGCAAAAUUGCAAAAUUUACUUAAUAAAGCUAGGACUAAAGUGGAAUUAUCUAGAUUGCUCUUUAUUUUUCUGCAUUCUCAUCAGAAAAAACACCAUGGAAGAGUUCCCUUGAGCUGGUUUUUUUUCAUAUUUUUACUUCAGGUAAGUUCAAUUCUUGAUUAUUUCUUAAAUUUUUUUGUGUUUUUGUGACUUUUACAACUAGGUCCACUAGUUAAAUUCAUUAGUUUUUGAUUCUAUGAAAGAAAUUGAAAGUUGCUAUGAAUAUGUGCUGGAAGUAUAUGAUGAUUUUUCAUGGAAUUAGAGCUUUAAAUUGUUUAUAUGCUGAUUUUAUUGAAACAAUUGAAUAGAAAGUGAAUGUUUGGGACCUAAUUGUAAAAGAGUUUGAAGUUAGAGUUUUAUGUAGAAAUUAUGAAUUUAAAUAGUUAUGAAAUAACUUAUAAUGUCUAGGAAAAGUAUUAAUUGAGAAAAUUAUCUUAAUUGAGGGGUUAAUUGAGCAAGGACUGAAUUGUAUGAAUUGUGAACUUUGGGGCAAAAUGGAAAUCAACAUUUUGCACUAAAACUGUUUUGGACAGCAGCAGUAGUCUAACUUUGAAAAAUCACCAAAAAUUGUAGAAAUGGAAUUAGAGGAUGAAUAAAUAUGAAAUUAAAGCUUAUUGAGUCUAGUUUCUUAUAGAAGAAAUGAUGUAAGCAAUGGAAUUGUAAAUCAUGAGAUAUGUUAAAUUUUGUGAGACAAGGUCAGAAUGAUUUCGGGUUCCCCUGUUCUGACUUUGUAAAAUCAUCAAAAAUUGGAUAAAAAUAAUUAGGGCUUAAAUUUAUAUGUUUAGAAUCUUGAAUGAGUCUAUUUUCAAGAGAACAAACGGGAACAUCAUUCGAAUCCUGUACGAGGAGAUAAUUAAUUUUUAGUGAAGAAGGGUCGGAGCUGUCAGACAGCAGAACAGGGGAGACUUCAAUGAAUAAAAUGUAUUAAUUGGCCUAACCAAAAAUUAUGAAAUUUUUAUGGUAAGAAUAUAUAUGAGUAUAGUUUCAUAUAAAAUUAGCGGAUCUUAAUUUUGAGUUCUAUAGCUCUAUAUAUAAAUAAUUUAGUGACUAUGACACGGGUGGAUAGUCUGACUAUUCACAUAAGUAAUUAGUGAAAAUUAUGGAUAAGGUUACUUACAAGUGUGUUAUUUAUACCAAGGAUGUGGAUGGAGAGGAGGAGGGGGAAAAAUAUACGAAUGACUCGUGUAUAAAUUAAAUACAUGCCCGAUUAUAAUCGAUAAGUGUUGGAUUAGAAAUGAUAUAAUGUUUUAUGUGGAAUAUUUAUUAUGAAAUUAUGAUUAUCGUUAUAAUACAAAAUUUGUACUUGUGAGUUUAUAUGGCUAAAUUUUAGUGAUUAUUUGUUAAUUUUAUGAAUUUCAUGAUGUGUUAUUUCAUAUGUAUUAAUGAUAAAAUCGUGGAUAAUGUAAAAGUAUGAAAAUUGAAUAAAUGAUCAAAUUGAGCAUUUCAGUUCAGUGACAAGAUGAAUUAAAGGAAAAGACCAUAGUUGGACCAUGGCAACAAGUGAUAAGUGAUAGCUUCGGCUACACUUAUCUGAUCAAGGAUAAGUGAAAGUGAUAAGUAAUAGCUUCGGCUACACUUAUCUGAUCAAGGAUAAGUAAAAGUGAUAAGUAAUAGCUUCGGUUACGCUUAUCUGAUCAAGGACAAAUGACAAGUGAAAAGUGGUAGCUUUGGCUACCUGAUCAGUGAAAAGUGGUAGCUUCUGCUACCUGAUAAGUGAAAAGUGGUAGCUUCUGCUACCUGAUCAGUGAAAAAUGGUAGCUCCGACUACCUAAUCAAUGAAAAAUAGUAGCUCCGGCUACCUGAUCAGUGAAUAGUGGUAGCUUCGGCUACAAGUGACAAGUGAUUUCCGUAUAAGACCAUAUCUGGGAUAUGGCAUCGGUGUGAUAUAUGCUACUGUAUAAGACCAUAUCUGGGAUAUGGCAUCAGUGAGAUAUGUGAUUUGUGUAAGACCAUAGCUGGGCUAUGGCAUCGAUAUGUGAUAUGUGAUUACGUGUAAGACCAUAGCUGGGCUAUGACAUCGAUAUAUGAAGAUGUGUAAGACCAUAGUUGAACUAUGACAUCGAGUAAACGAAGUACUCAAUUCCGUAUGACGUUCACUAAUUUGACAAAGUUUGGUAAGUGUUACAUGGAAUUAUGUGAUACAUGAAGUACGAGUUGAUAAGAUAUGAGUAUAGAACUUGGUUGAUAAAUGAAUUCAUUUGUGAUUAUAUAAUUGUUCAUCUUGAAUGUACUAUCCAUAUGUAUUGAUAAUUCAAACGUAUUAAUGAAUAAAGUUCCAACAUGGAAUAAAUUAAACACGAGACAAAUAAUUAUGAAAUUGAACUCGGAAUUCAUGAAAAUGAUGGUUAUUGAUAUAUAGAGACAUGAGACAUUGGUAUAUGAAUAUGGAAAAUAUUUGAUAAAUGUGUUUAUUCAUAAUUAUGGAAUUAUAUACCUCAUGUGUACUAUUUGCAUAAAGAUGAUAUUUCAAAUACUUUGGUUAUUUAAGCUUAAAUAUGAAACAGUAUGAAAUCAAGAUAAGUUGUUAUAAAAAUAUAUUUAGAUUACAGAGAUAUGGCUAAUGUAUGUUGUAUGAUUACAUAACGUGAAAUUGUGUAUAUAUAUGAGAAAUUUAAUGAGAAAUGAGCCCAUACACGUUUCUUGUUAUUUAUAUGAAGUGUACGACUGACAAGGGUGAUGAAGUUAUAAACAGAGAGUUACACGGGUUGAAAACACGGGCUUGUGACUCUCCAAAGUGUGAAAAUUUUCUAAGUGUUGCAAAAGUUUCAUAUGUUUACGGUUUGGUCCCGAACCACCCUGAAUGUAUGUUUUGGGCCCCAUAGGCCCAUAUAAGGGACGUUAAACAUAUGUAUGAAAGUUUUUAAUUUAGAAGAAAUUUUAUGGCUGAUUUUUACAUGAUUGAUCAUAUUAAGUUCGGUAAUGCCUCGUACCCUAUUCUAGGCUCGGAAUAUUGGUAGGGGGUGUUACAUUGUGGCCAGGGUAGGAAAAAGAAAAAGAAAAGGAAGAAAAUGAGGAAAAAUGAAAAAAAAAGGUACAAAGAGGAUGACAUGUGGCACCAUAUGAGUGGUCAGUACUACCAUGUUAGCUCAAAAGUAACAAUGUUAUGCUUAGGUACCAAUAUAGUUGACGGAAAAAAAGUUUGGGUACCAAUUUAAGAUAAAAAAAAUCAUAAGUACCAAUCUGAGAGAAGUGGAAAAAUUUGGAUACUAAUUUAUAUUUAUCCUUUUUAAAAAUUAAAAUAUAAAAUUAUGGUGUAAAAUGACAACAAGAAUUUUAGAUAAUUUUCAAUUUUUUAUAUUUUGACCUUUUCUUAAAUUUUAGGAUGUUUAUUGUUUUUUUAUUGAACAGGCAUAAUCAACCUUAACAAAUGACUAUGGACAACAACGUCUCCAAAUUCAUUCUUAAUGUUUCCUUUUUAAUAAUUUUUAUUUUUAAUAAUUUAAAAUAAUAAUAAAUUUAAAAUAAAUUCCAUAUUUUAAAAUAAGCCUUAAACUUCAAUACUUAAAUUAUUUAUAAUCAUUUUAAAUUUUCAAAUAUUCAACAAUAUAAAAAUUUAAAACGCAAAUUUUUAUAUAUUUAACCAAAUAAUUUAUAUUUGAUUUUUUUUAUUUUGAUAUUUGAUUUUUUAAUUAUCCUUGAGAACGUUUUUUUUUAAUUCUCCAAUUAACCAAAAUUUUAUUUAAUUAUAAAAAUCCAAUUUAAGGAAACUUUCGAUUGUGUUAGUAUGUUUAUUUUUCAUCCCACUUGAAUUUUUUUAUAAAAAAAUUUGGAAUUCAUUUUUUAUUUAUAUUAUUAUUUUUGAAAUUAUAAAAAUAAAAUAAAAUUCCCAUAUAUAUAUGUUUAGAAUGAACAUGGUCACACUGUUAUCUAAAUUUAAAUAAAUCUAGAAAAUAGUUUGUUUAAGUUUAUUUUACACAGGAAAUUAAAAAAUUAAAAAAUUUCUAAAAAACCUAUAGCUUAUUUUAAAGUAAUACUUUUUAUGCUAUUAUUUUUUGAAAUCAUAAAACUAUUAGAAAUACAAGUUUAGAAUUAACCUAAACAAUUAUUUGUUGUGAUUCAUUAUAUAUGCACAUGAAAUUAAAAAAAUAAAAAUCCUAAAAUUUCUAAUUUUCUUUAAAGAAAUAGAUAUAUUUUAAGACACACGUGAAUAUUCUAUUGGUUUUUAGCAUAAAAUUAUAAAAUUUAAUGCCACCAAAGUACCUAAAAAUUAGGUAUAAACUAAGAGAAAUUAGGUAUAAAUUAAGUACUCCAAGUUGAAAGGCUAAGAAAAAACUGGAAAUUAAAAUGUUUUUACUACUGCCACAAUAAAUAUAGUGCAUAGCUAAAUAGUUAGUAUAGGGAAGAGGAUGAUUCUCAUGCAAAGUAAUAUUGUAAUUUUUUUUUAUUUUUUUGAUAACCGUUUUAAAUUUAUUAAUAUUUUUAAAAAAUAUUAAAUAUAUGUAUAUAAAAAUAUUAAAUAAAUAAAUUUCCAAUAUGAAACAUGCAUCAAUUAUAUAAAAUACUAAUCAAUAAAGUUUACAAAUAAAAAAAAAUAUUUUGCAACAAAUGUCAAUAUUAUCUCAUUAAUUAAACAACAAAAUAACUAAACAUAUUAGAUGAAAGGUGCAUAAAAACUUACGCACGAAGCUAUGUUCAUGAAUCUUUAAGCUUCUCGCCUUGUAAUUGUUAUAUAAAAUUUGAUAGCCGAAAAAUUCUAUUGUUUACAUUUCGUGUAACUCAUGUAUCGUAUUUGCUUGAUUCUAUCUCUGUAAUUGUUGAUUUAGUUAAUGGUUCAAAGUAUUAAGGUGUUAGGUACUAAUUAUGAAUGUUGAUUAAAUAAUAAUAAUAAUAUAAAAUAAAAAUGCAUGGCAAAUCAGAUGUGUAAUAGUAGUAGCUACAAUAGAUCUCAAAAUUUAGGGUGGUAAAGCCUUUGUGCUGUUGGUUACUAGCAUUUUGAGCCUGUGCCAUUUGACAAUGAAAGCCUUUUAAAUUUGUGUAACAUUAUAUAAAUUGCUAUAAAAUUAUUGCUUCAUUCAAAACAAAGAAUUGGUAUUUCUUAUACACUGAAAGAGGUACUUUCUAUUGUGUAUAACAGCAAGCAAUUAAUAUGGAUUUCUUGAGUUGCUUACUGUACUUUGUUUUCUACUUGAUCUUGUUUCAAGCUUUCCAUUUUAUCACAAGAAGGAAACUGGGAAGAACCCACAAGCUUCCGCCCGGUCCACCAACAAUUCCAAUCUUCGGGAACCUCUUUCAGCUUGGUGAUGAACCCCAUAGGGCCCUUGCCAAACUUGCCAACAUUCAUGGGGACAUCAUGACUUUGAAACUUGGCCAAACAACUACGCUAGUUCUUUCGUCUGCAGCCAUGGCCAAAGAAAUCCUCCUAACGUACGAUGCCAUAUCUUGUAACCGAACCGUUCCAGGUGCCCUUCGUGCCCUUCAACACAACGAAACCGGAUUGCCUUGGAUGUCUGUUUCAACCACA